GUUACUCAGUGUGUCAUUAUGACCAGCUUGUGUGUUUUUAUUGAGUUUUAGGGCACAAAUGAAUAUAUUUUUUACAUAUAUUUUAGUGAGAUUAAUAACUGUGACAAUAAUGCGUGCCGAACCUUUUAUACCCGACUAAUUAACAUCUUGGAAUCAUCACGGCUUCCUUAUCCUCCUCUCUGAUUGAGACCAACCAUGGAGGUUGGAGCACGUGCUUUGGAUGUGCUACCUCUCCUACAAGAGCGGGUUGCAGCACUUACUGGUGGCCGAGACAGACGUGGAGGGCCGAUAGUAUGGUUUCCAGCAAAUUCAAGACGAGACCGUGUAGCUCCAGAUGACUAUAGACGACUGUUGCAUUAUUUAAUCAGCAUACCUAGUGAUUCUGUGAGGACACAUGGCUUCACUAUCUUAAUUGAUAUGAGAGGUUCUGCAUGGGCUGCAAUAAAACCAAUAUUGAAAGUUCUACAAGAACAUUUCUCUUCAUCCGUCCAUCAGGCACUUGUAGUUAAGCCUGAUAAUUUCUGGCAAAAACAGCGCACAACGAUAGGAUCCCAUAAGUACAAGUUUGAGACGACGAUGAUUAGCCUAGAAGCACUGCCUAAAGUAAUAGAUAGUUCUCAAUUGACACCAGAUUUAGAUGGUACACUACAAUAUGAUCAUGCACAAUGGAUAGAUCUUAGACUGGCACUAGAAGACCUAAUGUGGCAAGCAGGAGAGUUAUUAGAUAGACUGGACGACCUGCAAGAAGAUGUUGCACGAGCUGAUUUUGCCGAUGACGUCACUGGAGCAAGGCGCGCUAUUGACGCUCAUGCUGAUAUUAGCAAACGGCUUGCUAAAGUACCCGUUGAUGAACUAGAAUCACAAGGCGAACGAGUCCUGCAACGCCUGGAAGCAGCUGAAGCCGCAUGUUCCGAAGCUAGCGGCAGUGGCGGCGAGUCGGCGUUCCACUGCGGCUCGCCGAGCGCGGUGCGCGCCCAACUGUCGGCGGUGCGCUCGGCGCACGCGCACGCGCACAAGCUGUGGCAGCACAAGAAGAUGCAGCUCGACCAGUGCUUCCAGUUGCGACUCUUUGAACAGGACUGUGAAAAGAUGCUAGAAUGGAUUGUCAACCAUCGCACAGCUUUCUUGUCGACAUACGUUGAAAUCGGAAGAUCGUGUGCUGCUGCCAAACGCCUUCAAGAAGAACAUGCUAGGUUCGCAGCAGCAUGCACGGGCGGUGGUCGGCCGAGUGUGGCUCGAGUGACGGCGGCAGCGCGUAGACUGGCAGACAAACGACACUACGCAGAGACUCAGAUUACGUCGCUUGCCCAUAGACUUGAACGGGCUUACAAACAACUGUCUGCAGGUCUAGAGGAGCGUUCGGCGGUGCUGUCGCUGUCGGUGGUGUUCCACCACAAGGCGGAGGCGUACGCGUCGGCGGUGGGCGGGUGGGGCGCGCAGUGCGCGGUCGCGCUGCAGCUGGCCACGGGGCAGGGCGGCGCGCCGUGCAGCGACCCGCGCGCGCUCGAGCAGCACGCGCAGCGGCACCGCCAGCUGUACGAGCACAUGUGUCAGGCGUACACCGAGGUUCAUUCAACAAGCAAAAAACUGUUGUACCAACUUGAUCAUUUAGUUCAAGUUUGCCAUCAGACAGAUCCUGCUGAUAUGAAGGAUGGUUCAGUAAGUUCAGCGGUCAGCAGUGGAGGAGAUCCAGCUGCUGACUACAGUUCCGGCGCUAAUCAUGUUCUCGCUGUCAUACAUCAGAUUCUAGGGCAUCAUAGAGCACUGGAGGCUAGGUACCACCAGGCGAGACUGAAGCUGCACCAGCGUUUGGCUUUAUUGCUGUACAAGGAAGAUUGUAGACAAGUCCUGGACUGGCUUACCAAUCACGGCGAGGUUUUCCUUCAGAAAAACACGGGCAUCGGUAGAAAUCUACAUAAGGCGAGAGUUUAUCAGAAAUCUCAUGAACACUUUGAAAAUGUUGCGCAAAACACGUACACAAACGCCGAGAAGCUUCUGUCAGCGGCGGAGGAGCUCGCGCGUUCCGGCGAGUGCGAUCCAGAAGAAGUGUUGGGCGUGGCUCGCGAGCUGGAAGCGCACGUGGCGGCGUUCGCGGCGCGUGUUGAUAGGCGUCGCCGCAGACUCGAUCUUGCCGUGCUGCUGUAUACGCACGAGAAAGAGCUGCUGCAGUGGCUGGAGACGCUGCGCGGCGGCGGCGGCGUGUGCCCCGCGGACGACAGCCCGGAGGCGGCGCGGCGCGCGCUCGAGCAGUGCGCGCAGCACCGCGCCGCCAGCCUCGACGCGUGCGCCGCCACAAUCGCGCAGGGCGAGGCGCUGCUGCAGGACCUCAGAUCAUCAGGGGAUUCGGAUACAGCGAGCACGUCAGCUGUGGAAACUACCCUGGAGCGUUUGCGGGGAACUCGGAGUGCCCUCGAGGAACUGUGGUCAGAUCGCGAGAGGCGUCUUGAACUCACUCUACAAUUGAGACAUUUCGAGAGGGAUGCACUAGAGGUGUCGUCUCGGCUUGAGUUAUGGGGCGACGAGUUGCAACGCAGUGAGCCUCCUCGCGACCCGCAACAGGCGGAACAAGCUCUCGCUGCUCACAACGAGAGCGUGGCUAGGAUGCAACAUGCUACCUUUCAGGUAGUUCAACAAGGCCAAGAGUUGGCUGCGGCGAUCGCAGAAGCAUCAGACGUGAUGGCGUCUAGCUCCGACAGUUCCGAGGGCGCCCCACUCGAUGCCCAGGCUCGCGUGCAGCUGCUGCUGGAGUUUCUGCAUGACAGGCAGCUGGACCUGGAGGAGCUCGCUGAAGAGAGACGGGCAAGAUUUGAGCAAUGCGUUCAACUGGGACAAUUUCAAAAAGACGCAGCUCAAGUUGUGAGCUGGAUACGCAACGGCGAAGCGAUGUUGGCUGCGUCCUUCUCCAUACCGGGGACAUUGUCUGAAGCUGAGCAAUUGAAACGCGAACACGAUCAAUUCCAAGUCGCCGUUGAGAAAACCCACGCUAGCGCUGUGCAAGUCAAAUACAGGGCGGACGCUCUACGUGCUGCUAAUCAUUAUGACCCGCAUACUAUAAGAGAGAUCUCUGAAGAGGUGACGGAGCGAUGGCAGCGACUGGUCACGUGCGCUGAAGAGCGUCACAAGCUCGUCACUGCAUCUCUCAACUUCUACAAGACGGCGGAACAAGUCUGCUCCGUGCUCGACUCGCUUGAGCGGGAAUACAGAAGGGAUGAAGAUUGGUGUGGUUCUGGUGCUGCUAUAUCCACCCCUACACCCAAUUGCGAUGAUACGCAGACACUGCAACAGAACUUGGACAAAGCGGCUCAGGUGGCCGCACUCAUCGUCAAGCAUGGCGAGCAGAAGGAGGCGUUCCUCAAAGCGUGCACGCUCGCCCGCCGCACUGCUGAGACGUUCCUCAAGUACGCGGCGAGGUCCGCACAGGUGCACGGGCAAACUGCCGCGGCAAGCAAGGCGCAUCAUGAACAAACACGCGCCAUACUUGACACUCUGCUUGCGCAAGAGAAUAAGGUCCUGGAGCACUGGACGGUGCGCAAGAAGCGCCUCGAGCAGUGCCAGCAGUUCGCGCUGUUUGAGCGAUCGGCGCGCGCGGCCGUGGAAUGGAUCCGCGAGACGCAGGAGCGGUGCGGCGCGGCGGCCGCGGCGGCGGCGGCGGGCGUGGCGCGCGAGAGCCGCGAGCGCGUGCGCCUGCUGGCGCAGCUCGCGGACGGCCUCGUGGAGAAGGGACACCCGCACGCGGUGCAGAUCAAGGAAUGGGUGGCCGCUGUCGAUGCUAGAUAUGCCGAGUUUAGCGGUUCCAUGGAAGGUGGUGAAGCAGAGGCUGAGAGCGAUUCCGGUGUGGCACCAUCGCUCGCGUCCACACAGUCAGAGAGUGAAGUGCGAGUGGAGCCGCAGCCACCGGCCGCGGGAGAUGAGAAGAGACGCAGCGCUAGAAGGAAGGAAUUUAUCAUGGCUGAGCUGCUGCAAACCGAGCGAGCUUAUGUCAAAGAUCUGGAAACCUGUAUCACUGGAUACUUGCGCGAGAUGCGCACCGAUCCCGCUUCAGUACCACCAGCGCUGCAGGGCAAGGAGGAGCUGAUAUUCGGCAACAUAGAGGAGAUCCAUCGUUUCCACGAGCGCAUAUUCCUGCGCGAGCUGGACAAGUACGAGGCGUGGCCGGAGGACGUGGGGCACUGCUUCGUGACGUGGGCGCGCCAGUUUGACAUGUACGUGUCGUACUGCCGCAACAAGCCGGACAGCAACGCGGCCGUCGUGCAGCACGCGGGCGAUUACUUCGAGAGAGUGCAACGUCGAAAGAAGUUAGAGCAUCCCCUGGCGGCAUAUCUCAUCAAGCCGGUGCAGAGAAUUACCAAAUAUCAACUGCUCCUGAAAGACUUACAAGCUUGCUGUGCUGAAGGCCAAGGAGAAAUCAAGGACGGGUUGGAUGUUAUGCUGUCCGUGCCCAAGAAGGCGAACGAUGCGAUGCACCUGUCCAACCUCGAGGGCUGUGACGUGCCGACGGACAGUCUCGGCGAAGUGGUCCUGCAGGACUCGUUCCAAGUGUGGGACCUUCGGCAGAUCAUCAAGAAGUGCCGCGAACGGAGAGUGUUCCUCUUCGACCUGCAUCUACUGCUCGCCAAGGAGGUCAAAGACACGCACGGAAAGGCGAAAUACAUUUACAAGACCAAGUUUAUGACAUCGGAGCUAGGUGUGACCGAGCACAUAGAGGGCGACGAGUGCAAGUUCUCGGUGUGGACGGGCCGCGAGCCGAUGGCCAGCGACUGCCGCAUCAUGCUCAAGGCGCCCUCGCUCGAGGUCAAGCAGACCUGGGUGCGCCGCCUCAGGGAAGUCAUACAGGAAACUUACUUCAGUGGAGCGCUUCAUCAACCGCCUCGCAGUCCCGCUCGAGUUCGACCUACGAGCUCUCAGAGGUCCAGUCGCGAUUUCGAAGACACGGACACUGAAAAUCUGGAUCGCAAUUCGCUGGCUUCCUUCGGCAGCGGGAAUACCACGGACUCAGACAAGGCUGGACCGGAAAUGACAUGGGUGGUCGCGGAGCAUACGUCCGGUGGCGCUGGCGAGCUGACCGUGUCGAAGGGCCAACAAGUUGAAGUGCUGGAGUCGUGGCAGGUGCGCCCCGACUGGUGGGUGGUGAGGAUCCACGGUGAUCCGCCGCAAGAGGGCGCCGUGCCCGCCCAAGUGCUGAAACCGCAGCCCCACCACAAAACGUCGCCUUCACGACAACCGCUGGCAGCCGCCGAUGACGGAAUAGAGGCGUCGUCUUCGGAUCCCGGAGGGGCGGUGAGCGUGGCCAGUCCUGGAAAACACCGAAAGGGGAUAAUACCGAGGCGGUGGAUUCCGCGUCCGAGCAAGUCGCAAGGAAAAGCUGAAAAAGCGUUGGCCGGAGCGAAGUCGCCCGCAGAAAAACCAGCUCUGAAGAAAGUGUUGUCUGAAAAGAAACUCAAGAAUCUGGUUGUGCAGUUGCCGUACACGGACAACGGGCGCGCCGAGGAGGCCGGCGAGGGGAGCGCGGCCGCCGCGCUGGACGAGGGGGAGGACGACGCGCCCGACGUCGAGCUGCCGCCGCCGAUGAAGCCGCUACAGAACCCGCCCGUCCUGCAGCAGCCGCCAACGCCCGCGGCGGCCGCGGCGGUGCCCACCACGCGCAACUCGUUGGCAAUGGACGCGCUGGAAACUAACGGUGGUCCCGCGGAUAUCGCCGAGAUAGAACAAAUUGUCAAGGAAAAAAUGGAACAGCACGGUGGAGCCGCUACCACUUCAGGUCGUGCGGAAGGCGACGAAGAGCCAAGUUCCGCAACUCCCGGCGCUGAGAGCAGCGAGAGCACUCUAAAGAAACGUGAAUACGUACUUCGAGAGCUAUAUGAAACCGAAGAGGUAUACGUCUCUGAUCUCAGACUCGUCUGCGAGGGAUAUAUGAAGCACAUGAUGGAUCCAAACGCUGACCCACCAAUCCCAGAAGGUCUCCGCGAUCGUCGGUUGCGCAUGAUCUUUGGAAAUAUCGAGGCUAUUUACGAAUGGCAUCGCGAUAAGUUCCUCCGUGAGCUGGAAGGAUGUAUCGAGUCCCCGGAGUUGUUGGGGCCACUGUUCCGGCGAUUCCUCGAGAAAAAAAUGUUCCUGUACGAAGCUUACUGCCGCAACAAGCCGGUGUCUGAGUACAUUGUGUCAGAACACGAACAUUACUUCCAGGAGCUUAGACAUAAACUGGGACACAAAUUGCAGCUCGGCGAUCUGCUGAUCAAGCCGAUCCAGCGCAUCCAGAAGUACCACUUGCUCGUGAAGAAGAUCUUGAGCUACUCGGAGGUGGCCAACGAGCCGCCCAACGUGAUAGACUCGCUGCGCGACGCAGUGCAGUGCACUUCCAUUAUACCCAAGAACGCUAACGACAUGAUGGACGUGGGACGACUCCAAGGCUUUACGGGCAACAUAGCGGCGCAGGGCAAGCUGCUGUUCCAGGAGCCGCUGUUCGUGUCGGAGGGCUCCAGCGACAAGGGCAAGGAGCUGCACGUGUUCCUGUUCCAGCAGUGCAUGAUAUUCACGGAGCCGGUCGGCAAGCGGACCCAGUUCACCAGCCCCACGUAUCACUAUAAGGCGCAUGUGCAGUUGCAGGUGAACAAGAUGCGGCUGGAGCACGAGGAGGGCAGCGGCGUGUUCGUGGUGCACUCGGUGAGCGGCAAGGAGCGGCCGCGCUCGUUCGUGUGCCGCGCGCCCGAGGCCCGCCGCCACCACUGGAUCUCGACGCUCUCCAGCAUCCUCGAGUCGCAGCUGAUAUUCGGCUUCCGCCUCGAGAACCCCAGCGCGUUCAUGAACGACGAGCCCGCGAGGGAGCCCGCCGCUGAGUGUUGGUGGGGGCUCCGCAAGACGGAGAGCGUGCCGCCGUCGCUGGGCGAGCGGCUGGCGCCCGAGCUGGGCGCGCGCACGCAGCGGCCGCACGCCAAGGCCAACACCAUCAACCUGCCGAGCAGCGCGCGCGACGACCACAAGAAGGCGUCGCCCGCCUCGCCCACCGCGCCCGCCGCCGCGAGCCCCACCUCGCCGCCGCACGCCAACGUAUGAUAUACACGGGAAUGCAUUUUUAACAUAGACUGUGAUAGCGGAUCGAUAAGAUGACUGCGAUAUUGUGUUAAGUGUUAAAUGCCGCCAAACAUUAAAUUAAGCUAUAUCUAUUUAUUGUAUUAGUAUAAAAAGUAUCUAGUGAGCGGGAGACGCCCGGGAAUAAGAGAAAACGGGCUUGUCGAAACGGGCGUGGGGGCUGAAGCUGCGGCGCGGCGGCGGCGGGAGCGGCGGCGAGCCCAGUGAGGGCGUCGUCACUGAGCUUCGGCCGCCCGAGCUGCUGGAGCCCGCCGCCGACGUGGCGGUCGCGCUCGGCGCC
This 7366-nucleotide unclassified non-coding RNA is filed under the name Zerene cesonia (dogface butterfly). Its description in RNAcentral is "triple functional domain protein, transcript variant X7". Lineage: Eukaryota; Metazoa; Arthropoda; Insecta; Lepidoptera; Pieridae. The record is from RNAcentral.